CUGAAAGUCGGGCUGCCUGGACGCUGGAGAGCUGCGGCCCGCCCACCGGGUCACAUGGCUCGGAGCCGAGCAGAGGAUCAAAGGGGCUUUGUGGCCUCGGAACAAGGAGCCUCCCAGAGCUUGGGGCAGAGAGCCAGGAUGGUCUUCCGUUGAUCCUGCACAUAGUACCCCGGCCUGGCACUACCCCAACCCGGACAGAUAACAGGCAUGCACCUUGGUCUUCCGGCAGCCUCCUAUGUUUUGGUAGGGCCCCGCCCUCUCCCAAUGCCCUGAUCCCCAUAGGCUUCUGGGCAGCUGAGACAGCUCGACCAACUUGCUUAAGUGGGCUCUGCUGGCUGCAACCAAAGGAGGGAGAAGCAAGAGAGGAAGCAAGAACCUAGGGCUGGGCUGGGGUUAGCUCACCCUGACUCUGUGCUCUGGAGCCUCAGGGACUCGGGCUGUGUUCUGGCGCCUGCUUCUUCCCACUGUUCCUGAUUCUCCUCCGUGGGGGCUGGGCAGUGAGUCAGUAGUCUCCUCCUCCCACUCCCUGCAGGCCCUGUGAUGUUCUGGGACCCUGAGAGUGAUGAACCAGGGGGUCCAAAGGAUAGGAGUUGAUACUUCUGGGGCUGGGCCUGGAUGCUGGGAUCUGCCAGACCCUAUAACCUCUGACCUGGAAUGACUCACUCCCAGGCUCACUGUGGCCCCAGGCCAGCUCCCACACUGGGAGUGCUGGGGGUGGGAUUCCAGGUUGCUUAGAGCAGGAGCAAUUAGUUCAAGGGAGAGGAGCCUUUAUAACUCUGGAGGGGCCUCAGGAGCCAGUGACAGAUUUCCCCCAUGUGAUUUCCAUCCCUCAGCCUGUAGAAACAAUUGCCCCAAAGCCUUCCCCAGUGUGUGCACACCCAUAGUCUACCCCCAGCCUGGCUCUGCCCUACCAGCCGAACUCAGGAGCCCCAGGCCUGUGGUCCCUCAUGCAACAUCCUUGGACUCUGCCUUCCCUGCCCGAGUCGAUACACCAACUCCAGUCUCAGCUAAAGCAGCAAGUCCAUUCAAACCAGGAAGCGCUCCCCCUCCAACCCUCCCUUAUCACCAAGCCGUGGCAGUUCAGUAGACUCCUAUCAACCCAUGUCACCGCUGACCGUCAACUGCCCUACUGGCUGGCUCUCCUUUCUAGGUGCCCCCCUCUCUUCCGAAACUUUAUGCUUUGACACCCCAUAAUCAGCCCCCCAGAUCUCUGGAGGCUCCUGUGCACAGCUCCAGAGAGCAUUCCAGAUUGCCAGCCUGGGAGGCGGCACUCUACCCUGUACACAGUGACUUUGUACAGCUGUGAGGCUCAUUCAGCACACGGGGUGCGGGGUGUGUCCUCCAGGGCAUGAAGAGGGCAGGCGCUUUCUGGGGUUUCUUCCCCAAACAGGACAUCCUAUCCGUUCUCAAGGGGGUGGGUUCUUGUCUCUCCAAGUCAAGGAAGUAUCCUGAGCGCCACUCAGGUGCCAUCAGACCCAUCUGGCAAGUUACAGAUGGGACCUUAAACUCCUGCCACCACAGGGGGAAACAGGAGGGACCGCGUGGCCCGCUUUCAUUGAUCUCACGGAGCCAAAAUAUUAUCAGUUCAAGAUGUCACCGACGUGAAGAUGGCGGAGAUGUUUCACAUACUUCUGUUCUGUGCUAAGACACUGGAAUCCAGCGAUUCCUCUGAUUCCUCUGGCACCACACUGCCCAGCCAGCCCCUUGCUGGGGCUUCACAGUCCUGCAUGCUGGCUAGGAGGGUGCUGUACCCAGUACCCCAUUGCUCUUCUCAGUGUAGAACCACUGACUCAGAAUCUUCUCGAAGACCCUGCUCCCUUCUGGUACCAGAUCUACAAGCCACAUGUAGGGGUGGAGAGGACCCAGCUCUCCUGAAACACACACCUCCUGUUGAGGGACUGGAGGGACUGUGGUUAAAAGCACAUAUAGGGGGACUGGAGAGAUGGCUCAGCGGUUAAGAGCGCUGUGCUUGCUCUUCCAGAGGUCCUGAGUUCAAAUCCCAACAACUGCAUGGUGGCUCACAGUGGGAUCUGAUGUCCACUUCUGGUGUGUCUGAAGACAGCCACAGUGUACUCAUAAACAUAAAAUAAAUAAAUCUUUUAUUUAAAAAGAAAAAGUACUGGAGAGAUGGCUCAGUGGUUAAGAGCACUGCCUGCUCUUCCAGAGGUCCUGAGUUCAAAUCCCAGCAACCACAUGGUAGCUCACAACCAUCUGUAAUGAGAUCUGAUGCCCUCUUCUGGUUUAUCUGAAGACAGCUACAGUGUACUUAUAUAUAAUAAAUAAAUAAGUCUUUAAAAAAAAAAAAAAAAAGCACACCUAGCUCCUCCAGAGGAAGGACCUGAGCUGGGUUCCCAGCACCCAUGUCAGACAGCUCAAAACUGCUUGCAAUUCUAGCUCCGAGGGGGUCAUGUGCACUCACAUGCAUGGACAUCUGCACACAUAGACACUUAAAAAAAUCAACCAAUCAAAUGUUUUAAAAGGUAUUGAAGAGCCAAGUAUAGUAGAGGGUAGGAGGACCAGGAGUUCAGGGCCAGCCUCGAGUUCAAGUCAACCUGAACUACGUGAGACCUUGUCCUUUCAGACAGGGUUUCUCUGUGUAGCCCUGGCUGUCCUGGAACUCACUGCGUAGACCAGGUUGGCCUUGAACUCACAGAGAUCUGCCUGCCUCUGCCUCCCCAGUGCCGGGAUUAAAAGUGUGCACCGCCACCGCCUCACCUUGUCCUUUUUAAAAAUAGAACGUUUGUUUUUAUUUUAUGUGCUUGGAUGUUUUGCCAUUGUGGGUAUCCACUACGAGGGUGCAAUGCCUUAGAAGGCCAGAAGAAAGGGUUGGAACCCCCUGGGACUGGAAAUAGAUGGCUGUGAGCGGCCACGUGAUGUGGGGUAACCUCAGUUCUCUGGAAGAGCGAGCGGUAAGUGCCCUUGACUGCGGAGCCAUCUCUCCAGCCUGAGACCUGGUCUUUUUUAAAGGUGGGGAAGUAGUUAGUUGGUAGAGCGCGUGUCUGGCAUGCACAAGCCUUGGUUCAAACGCUGCAUAUUCAGGACAUGAUGGCACACUCCUGUAAUCCCAAAACAGCGUGUGGAGGAGGAGUUCAGGGUCAUCCUUGGCUACAUAGUGAGUUGGAGGACAGCCUGGGCUAUGUGGAACAGUAUUCAAAAAAAAAACAAAAAAAAACAAAAAAAAAAAAAAAAAAAAACAUAGAUCUAGAGCCAUGUCCCGAAGUUCACUGUCAGGGAGAGGGGAAAUUGUCUUAAGGAAUCAACUCGAUAAAUACCUGGCCACACACUAUGUGUGCCAAAGACACCAUCAGCUCUCUCCUGGGUGUCCCUUCACAUCCAUACUAGUUUGAAGGGACAUGGGAUGAUGAGCCCAACACAGAGGGAGCCAGCUGCUGGCCUGACUCGUUGUGUAUUGCCAGAUACCCAUGGCGGUGGGGCUCAGAAUUGUUUUUGAGUAGAGGCCCCUGAAGCUUGGACAGGAUGUAGACUUGGGAAGGAAGCAAACCAGGGUCCCAUCAACUGCCCAGAAAGCAGAGACCCCUAGAGAAGAGCAAGAGAGGAGGAGGUGACAGCCACCCAGGCUACUUCAACUCCUGCCCUUCCGGUGCCUGGGUCUCCAUCCACACAUUGGCUUCCGCCCCAUGUAUAUACUUCCAACAGCCAACUUGUCAAGCUGUGUUUAUUUAUCCUAAAGUCACAUAGGAGUACACUUUAAAAAUAACUCACAGAGAGAGAGAGAGAGAGAGAGAGAGAGAGAGAGAGAGAGAGAGGGGCGCAGACUACUACUGGCUACUAAGGGUGAGGAGCUGACAUGGGCUCCUUAGGAUGUGGGGUUCCCACUCUGUGGUGAUAAAAAGACCCUGCAGUCAGGGCAGAACCCAGACCACUUCUAUUAUGACCAGGAGUGGGGUGUGGUGGGGGGAACUGCCUUACACUCCGCGUGCAUUGGAAGCCCAGGAUAGCCCAGACUCCAGGUCCUCCCACCUCAGCCUCUUCGGUACCACAAUGACAGACAUAUUCUGCUCCCAGCUAGAAAAGCAUAUGCUUAAAGGCAAAAGAAUCGGAUGUGGGGCUAAGGAUACAGCUGAGGUGGUAGGAUGCUCUCAGCUAGCAUGCCUGAAGCCCUAGGUUCAACCUUCCCAGCUCCACACAGCCCAGCUGUGGUGGCAAAUCCCUGUAAUCUGAACACUCUGGAGGGAGAGGCAGGAGGAUCAGAGUUCAAGGCCAGCCUGGGACAGAAGCCUGGCCAAUACAGGAAGCCAUCUCUUGGAAAGCGAUUUUUUAAGGAAGUAGAUGCAUUUUUAAUUUCCUUGACCCAGUUUAUCAUAGCAUUUUAUGCCUUGGGAGUACCAUGUCUCAAGACGCACCGGGCUGACCAAUGUCCUGUUCUCGUCCUGAAGGACUUUACAUGGCAAGGCAACUUUUGGUAUGAACAAAGACAGUGAUACAGAGUGUGACCCAGAUGGGCCGGCCACAACCGCAGGUGUCCCGGGCCACAGAGAGAGGGAGGAGGUCUGAUUAGCAUAUGUGGUAACCACAGCCGUGACAGAGGCAGAGCCCACCAGAGCAAGAAGAGGCCAGGGACAGAUCUCUGGAGCCUCCUGCAGGAACCCAUCUGCCCACGUUCUGGCUUUAGUCCUGUGGACCUGUUUAGAUUUCAGACCUUCGUAACCCUAACACAAUAAAUGUCUGUUGUUACAAGCUACACGGUUUGCACAAACUCACUUGAGCAGCCACAGGAAGUUAAUGUGGCCCACGGGGAAAAGGUUAGCCAGCAGGGCAGGUCCACUCUCAAGCCAUCUUCUGGGUCCUCAGAGGGAUCCUGGGAUCUUACUCCCAAGCCCGGUUCACAUCCAACAAGCCCUACCCCAAAGCUGAUGAAGCCCCUCCCCCUUUGCAGAUACCUGGCCAAGAUGUGACAGCUAAAAAGCCCACUUCCCACCGAGCUCCCAGCUGAGUCCUUGCACAGGCUCCCAGGCUCCCAGGCUCCCGGAGCAGCGCACACAAGGUCCUUCUUGAUGAUACCAGGUGUCUCCACUCUCCUGAAAGCAAUGUUGAGCCCUAAUACAGACCGAUUUCAGAGGGUGACACCUGCCAGGAAGCUACAGGACACCCACGCUCAACUCUGCAUGCAGCGCCAAGCCAGCAGGAAAAGGAGAUAGAUGUAUGCAUGUGUGAUCAUGGUCCACGUGCACAGACAGAAACACACACGCGCACGCGCGUACACACACACACACACACGCGCGCGCGCGCGCGCGCGCACACACACACACACACACACACACACACACACACACACAUCCUGUUCUCUUCUGGUAGGCACUCUGGCUUGCACAAAGCUCACCUUCCUGCCCACUGUCUUCCAAUCCACCCAGGCAACAGCUCAGGAGAACAGCAGAUGCUUCCAACUGAAUGCCAAGAAAAAACGCCACCCCUCCCCCGUCCGCCCCUCUGAGGGUCUGGCGCUGGAGAACUGAGGCAGGGCCGGUACUUGCAAUGUGCUGCUGUGUGUCCUGCGGGUCCUACACCACCAGGAACACAGGCUACAUGUCCCUGAGGUGGGGAGACACUGCCAAAUGGCCUUGAGGGCCAGAAGCAGGCUCCGGGGAGGAAGAGGCCCCUACAAAGCACCAUCUUGUCACCGCAGACAGUGGCUUGCAAUGGGCUCUGGGUGUUCAGGUGCCUCUCUGGCUCCCGUCUAAGUCCGGGUGAACUGAUGCCAGUCCAAUCUCCAGAGCAGAGUCUCAGGCUCUCUGACCCCUCUGUCUCCCCCUUCUCAAUAGCCCAGCCUCUCGGCCCACUCAUGUUCCCCUCUUGCCAGCACCUACUCGCUUCUUGGCUGGCCAUCUGGCCUCUGCCUACCACACAUCACCAGGGCUCUGGGAGGAUUCCCCUUGGCCCAUCUCCAGUCACACCCAGCCUGAAGCAGCUCUUCCCAGACCCAUCCUGGGAUCUCUUUCCUUUUCCCUUCUCAUCUUGGCUUCCUGGAGUGACCCCCCCACCCCGCUCCCCGCUUCCCUCCCCCCCACCCCCCCACCCCUCCACCCCUCCCUGCCUGCUCCCUGGUUCUGGUUCCAACCCCUUCUCAGCUUUGAUCCUUCUCUCCAGUUGGUUCUCUCAAGCCACACCCCUCCUUCCUCUACAGGCCAGGUUCUUCCUGGAGAACCCACGUGCCUGAGAUACCAGAUUCUAUUGCCCAGGCCCUGCUCCCCCCACCUCCCAGCCCCAGGACCCUGCCUGCACCCCUCACUCAGUCCUGGGAACUUCCCCUUCAGAUUCCAGGGCCCUUUCCCCCUAGCCCUAAUGAUUUGAUUUUGCAAAUUUGCAGCGGCCCCUUCCUGCCAUACCCCACGCAGCUGGUGGCUAUAGAUCCAUUCCUUGAUUCCUCGCUGAUGUGAUGGCUACUUCCUGUUUCCCUCCUCCCCCAACCCUGCCCCCGCACAACUUCCAAUAUUACAGCGGAACUCCUCUUUGCAUUCGAGUACCCCUGUACCCUGGCACAUCCAACCUCAGCCAGCACUGUUUUCUUUUUCCUUUUUCUUUUUUUCAAAUAUUUACGUAUUUUAUGUAUAUGAAACCUCUUCAGACACACCAGAAGAGGGCAUCAGAUCCCAUUACAGAUGGUUGUGAGCCACCAUGUGGUUGCUGGGAAUUGAACUCUGGACCUCUGGAAGAGCAGGCAGUGUUCUUAACCGCUGAGCCAGCUCUCCAGCCCCAGCACUGUUUUUUAAGAACUCCAUUCAUCAGUUGGCCUCCAUGGUCUCCCAGACAUCACCACCUCUGCCACAGGCCACAGGCCUCCACCGCACCCUGGGUCUUUCUGUGGCCUGGAGGACUGGCCACUAACUCAACAAGCCCUGCCCCCUCCUGGUUUCCUUGGUAACAGGUUUCAGAGCAAGUCUGUGGCCCUAGGCUGCAGGGCAGGAUGGGCCCAUUUCCUCCUUUCUGAGAAUCCCCACCCUUACCCCUGUCAGAGAGCAGCACCCAAAUGCUGACCUUUUUCCUUCUCGAAAAGCUAGCAUUAAGUAGGGCAUGGUGCUGCACAUCUGUGAUCCCAGCUGAGGCAGAGGGAUUGAGUUUUGAUACCAGCCUGAACUACACAGCAAGACCUUGUCUCAGACACUUGUGACACCCAUGUGUCUUCUGUGCCACUGUCUGCUAUCUUAACUUGAGCUGUGACCCUGGAGCCUGCAGCCCACUGUCUUACCUCAGUGUGGUCACCACCCUACCCUGUAGAUCGGUUCUAGCACGCUGCCACCCAGGCUUCGGGCCCUUCACCUCACCAGGACCAAAUGCAGCCAAAACCCCACCAGGCCCACAGAUUUCCACCUGGGUGUCCAGCCCGGUGGACUCCUCGGUGUAGAGAGAAGACUGGGACAUUGGACACACCAGGCAGCCCGGCAGGGCAGUGCCUCGACUUCCCACUCUGCAGCCAGGACAGAACCUACACACCUGAGGUACUCAUGUGCUGGAAGGCAAACUCUACUUGGUUUGAUGUUUCCAAAGGCACCCCAGACCGGGGCGAUGGGGGAGGGGAGCAGAAAGGGAGGGCUGUUCUAAAAAUGGGCUCAAUAAAGUCCAAGUCUCACUUUAAACAAUACAGCACUGCCUAUGUUAAUACCUACAGGGGAUGGGACCUCCACCUACAGGGGGCAGGACCCCUGUCAUCCAGGAGGCUUCCUGGGACUGAGAACUGCUGGCUUAGGACCAAAUGUGGAGACACACACACACACACACACACACACACACACACACACACACUUCUAAGAGCUGUGCUAAGCUCGGCUGAGAGUUAUCAUUCAGAGCUGGGACACUUGCCACCUCCCCCUUGGGUAACUUCUGGGGAAAAUGCUCUUGGCAUGGGCUUCCGAUCCUGUUUAUGAGUUACCAAGGAGUGUGAGAAUCCUAGCGUGCGAAUCUGGAAGGUGGGGUUUCUCAUCUGCUAAGGAGGAAGGGGCAUAUUAGGGGAGAGUGGCAAGAUGCCCUGGGCAGCCUGGCUUAGUGGAGGAUCCAUUAGAAGUAGCAGGCUCCUGGGCUGAGGAGGAGGGUGGAGGGCGUGGUCAUAGGCAGCUAGAAAGAAGGGUGUGGCAGUCAGCCUGCACAGACCAAGGCUCUCUGUUACAAGACAGGAGUAGGAAGAAACUUUUGCCCGCCAGCUACGUGUGUCUGGGCUUGAAACGGUGAUGUCACCUGAGAAAGUGUUAACAUUGUCCCCACUGUGAAUUUCAACCCUCGGUAUGAAGGCUGGAGACCUGGGUGCCUCAUAGACACAAGCCCUAACACAAAAGUCAAGAUGACAGGCUGGCAAGGUGGUUCGGCGGGGGUGGGGGUGUGGGGGAUGGGGGUGGUGGUGGUGGUGGUGGUGGUGGUGGUGGUGGGUGGGUAAGAGCCCUUGUUACAAAAACAUGAGAACCUGAGUUUGAAUUCUGACACCGGCAUAAAAGUCACAUGGAUGCCUAUAACGCCAGCGCCCCGGGAGGCAGAGGUGGGAAGAUCAUGGGGCUCCCUGGCUGCCAGCCUUGCUCCAGGCUCAGUGAGAGACCCUUCCUCAAGGGUAGAGAGUGACAGAGCACCCUCCUCUGGCCUCCACACGAGCACACAGGCACACACGUAAUUGUACCAUGCACAGCUGAUAAGAGUCAAGACGGUACAAGACGGUGUUGUGAGGCCCCUGACCAGGAUCUGUAACACUGAAGAAUGACAAGAGUUCCCAAAUCCAGACCUCACAGGCAAGGGGCUUGAUGGGGCAAAGGCUCUUCAAAGGGACAGGGAAGACCCUCCAGGGUAUCAGGGAGGAAGAAGGGCAAGCAAGAGGCUGGAGAUAUGACAGUGGCAUAUGUGAUGUCAGAGUGCCCCUUGGCAUGUUCAGUCCAGGACAGGAAGAUCACAGAGGCUGGGCAGCAGGGAGCUGCUCCAUAUCAAUCCGUCCCCACUCGACUCAGAGAAACAUGAUCUCACAGCUACAGGCUAAAACCUGGUUCUGCAAACUCCCAGAGAAGGGAGGAAUGGAGCUUGGGCUCCUCCUGCUACAGGCCCAGCAUCUCCAGCCACAGGAGCCAGCACAAUUCCUCAGAGAGAGAGAGACUGGGAGUGUGGGGGGUGAGGAGGGGGUACGGACAACGACACACAGCAAGCUCGGGUCUGCUCACACUGACUGACAUCCUGAGGGCUUCGUGCUGCUGAGGAGAAGUGCACUUCAGAUGAGGAGCUGGAAAUCAGAGCUGUGACCUGAUCACGACCCUGGACAUACGACUGGAAAGGACACACAAGUCAGGAAGGGAACAGGUGUGCCUUUCUGCCUGUGAAAAGGAGAACUAGAAGUUUUGUUUCCAGUUGCUUUCCCACCAGAGGUGGGAGGGGAAACUGCCUUCCAGCCUGAGCUGUUAGUAUCUAGAAGCAUCUGGAAAGUUCCAGAGCGGCAGCCACGCCAGAGGAUUCCUCCGGGCUUUCUGGAAUACCAUCACCUUCCUGGCUGUGCGUUUCCAGUUACCACUUGGUGACUAAUGGCUGAAGAGACACCAGCUUGUCAUCUCACCGAGCCAGAGGUCAGACGGUGAACUAGGUCAGGGUUUCCACAGGCAUGGCCGCAGGUCCCUAACUGGAGGUUCCGGGUUGAAUCUGUGGUCCGGCAUUUCCUAUACUUCCUGGUUCUUGGUGCUUCCUUUUCUUUUGGCCUGGCCUUUCUCACACUGCAAAGCUGGGACACCUCCCCAAGCCCAUUCUGAAGGACUCUUGAGUGGCACGGGGCCCCUGUGGAUCUCUCCUUAGGACUGACUGGCUUCUUGAUAACGGCAACUCCAUCAGCAACCCCCAUGGAGUAUGGUUUAGUCUCUCUCCGGCUCUAUAGCAAGGCCAUGAGUGACUCUGGUUCCUGCAGACACGUCAGAGUUGGACCACAGACCUGCCUGGCUGCCUGGGCUCUAACCCCUGUCAUCUCUAAGAUGAGGUGUGGUGUCUCACACCCUCAUUGCUGCCAUGUGGGGCGUGUGCACGGCCUCUGAAGCCAGCCCCAGAUCUGCGACCAUCUAUCUGUCCCUUUGUCUCAGGGUGCCUCUCAAACCUCACCGUCUCUCUUGGUCACCUGGAGAAGCCCCCAUAUGCAGGGUUACCCCAUGAACACCUGAGCACCACACUAGUGGGCAGUUACAGCGCCACACUCCAUACGGCGAGUGAAUGCAGUGGGCUCCUCAGUCAGGAGGUCCUGGGAUGGGAUGGGCAGUAUAAAAAGCCACAUAGUUGAGGAGACAUUGGAAGGAGAGGGAGCCCUCCCUCUGGGGUCUGAUGUCUCCAGCCCAAAAUUUCUGCGCAAUUAGCACCCCUGCACUGACGGUUUUAACCAGGAAACCGCAUUCCUUUUAUAGAGAGAUAUUUUUGAAUAAGAAUUUGAAAUUAGCAAGUAAACACCCUCUGAGUAUGGCUAGACUCUGUCCCCAGAAGUGAACCCCAAAUUUCUGGGAAUCUCACAAACGAGACUACAAACUUCAAUUACAACAAAAACUAAAUUAACUCGUGAGUACUGGGCUGGAACCCAGGGUUUUUGUUUCAACAAUUAUAACCCUGUGAAACCUCACUCUGACCCCACUCCGGUUCUCAGUAGUCUUCCUCAGAAAAACCAGACAAAUUGCUCUGGGAAAGGCACCUAAGCAGGGUCGUAAGUCGCCCACACCCACACUUGUUGGCUCCAGUGUUCAAACCUGGGGUCUUAGUAAACACCUGAAAUCCUUUCUGUAGUCAAGCCAGGUGUGGUAAUGCCGGUAAGGGUAGGGGCAGGCAGAUCUCUACAUAGUGAGUUCCAGGACAGCCAGAACUCCAUCAUGAGACCCUGGCUAAAAGAAAAAAGAGUCAGCAUUAGUCAGCAUCCAGCACAAGCUGGCUGCUCCCAAUGUGACCUCUGACCUGGGGCAUGGCCAUAGAAGAAGCUUUCAUUUUCAGGGGCCUGGCUGCCCCACAGGCAGGAUGUGCAAGUCCACAGGUGUGCAGGAGGAUAUGCCUAGGGGACAGCGAGGCCCUCUAGGACAGUGAGGUGGCUCAGUGGGUAUAGUGCUUGUGACGGCGGCCUGCUGACCUGAGUUCAACUCCUGGAACCUACAUGAAGGUGGACAGAGAGAAGUGGCUCUACGAGACUGUCCUCUGACCUCCAUGUGUGUGCCACAACACACACACACACACACACACACACACACACACACACACACACACACACAAUAAUAUAAUAAUAAGUAAAUACAAUAUUAUUUAAUUAAUUUAUUUUUAUUUUAUUGGUGCAUUGGUGUUUGAGGGUGUCAGAAUCCCCUGGGAAUGGAAUUGCAGAUAGUUUCGAGCUGCCGUGUGGUUGCUGGGAAUUGAACUCAGGACCUCUGGAAGAGCAGCCCGUGCUCUUAACCGCUGAGCCAUCUCUCCAGCCCUGAAUAAAAUAGCUUUAAAGAAGCCCUCCAUGCUGGAGAUGGCACAGCACAGUAGUGGCUGCUUUGGCUGAGGACCCGACUUUGGUUCCCAGCACCCACGUGGUGGCUCACAGUUCCAGGGGGUCUGAUGCCCUCUCUUGGUCCCCGUGAGCAUUGGACAUGCACGUGAUGCCUAAUAUGUGUGGGAUUUUAAACAAAAUAUAUCUUUUUAAAAAAAAAAACCCACAAACAUUCUCCACUCUGGAUGUGUGAGCCUCGCCAGGCUCUACUGGGCUUUCAGGGGCUCUCCUGGCAUGGUACCUGGCCUGCUUGCCGGGUGACUGCUGACCCAUGGAGGUCCCUCAUUAGAGUCAUUGGGAAGCCCCACCCCUCAUCCCUCAAAGGCAGAAGGCCUCGGGUCCUAUCUAAGGGAGCCCAGGAGAACGAAUGUCAGCUUCCUGUGUGAGAGCCUCUCCCAGCCCUGUUGGCUCACCCCCGCAACCCGCACCACCACCACAGCGGUCUGGAUGGCGCAGUGCUGUGCUCAGGGCUACCACAGAGGUCUCACUUCUCCCAGUCUCUGGCCUUUUGGGGUCGGCGGCUGAGGUGUGGCCAAGGAGCUCUGAACUCCAUCGGGAGCCAUGUACAGGAGUAAAGGGAUCAAGGCUAGGCUGUGUGAUCUCUGGAAGGCUGCUUUGCCACUGUGGGUCUGCUUCCUACGGGUGGUUUUAGACAGCCUAUGUGUGUGCGCCUGAGUCUCACCCGGGGUGCUUUAGCCCUGUAUCCUAUAUUUAAUAGCACAAACAAGGCUUCUAGAACCUCCACCCCCACUUCCUCUGGCCUCUCUCUCUCUCUCCUCACAGUGCCUUGCUGUGUAACUCUGACAGGCCCCGGGACCCAGCUAUGUAAUCCAGGCCUCCCAAAAUUGCAGGUGAAAUUGCAAGUGUAGUCACGCCAUGAAGCCAGAGACUCUCUUCAGCUCUGCCCCACACAGUGGGCCCCGCCUUCUCCCGAGUUUAGCCCCAAUGCAGCUUUCAGUUAGAGGAACUGAUGCUUGCAGCCCUCGGCCUAGCCUAGCCUCCACCCAAGAGGCCACUGUAGCUUAACAGGCUGUAGGUGGCAGGGGCCAAAGAGGUCAGGCCACACCCCUUCAGGGAAGAGGCUCCAUCAGUGGAGACAGCUGCUUUAAGUGCAGGAAAAGGGAAGAGGGGGAGUGGAGGACCCUCCCUCUCUUCUCCAGGAGGCCCCCCCACCCCACCUCAGGGAAUUCAUUCUUCUGCCAAACCCCAGUAAUGAAUCCCACAUGGCUGGGUCCCCCCCUCCGCCCUCUGACUGAGCUCCGAACAGCUGGCCCACAGAAGGUGCUGGAGUUGAACGUGGAGAGGAGACUGCAGAGUCCUACAUCCCACCCACCCCUUCCUCUGCAGAUAAGGCCUCACUGUUCCGGCCCUGGCCCUGGGAAAGCUCUGUGUGUGUGUGUGUGUGUGUGUGUGUGUGUGUGUGUGUGUGUGUGUGUGUGUGUGUGUGUGUGUGUGUGUGUUAACCCUUUUGUGUAAGGCACAUCCUCAAGGCUUGCAAUCAUCAAUAAUACAC
Molecule: non-coding RNA, 12974 nt
Organism: Rattus norvegicus (Norway rat)
Lineage: Eukaryota; Metazoa; Chordata; Mammalia; Rodentia; Muridae
Source: RefSeq, a predicted model, not a curated record